GCAGUCGCCGCGGGAAUACAGAGGGUGCGAGCGUUAAUCGGAUUUACUGGGCGUAAAGCGUGCGUAGGCGGCUUCUUAAGUCGGAUGUGAAAUCCCUGAGCUUAACUUAGGAAUUGCAUUCGAUACUGGGAAGCUAGAGUAUGGGAGAGGAUGGUAGAAUUCCAGGUGUAGCGGUGAAAUGCGUAGAGAUCUGGAGGAAUACCGAUGGCGAAGGCAGCCAUCUGGCCUAAUACUGACGCUGAGGUACGAAAGCAUGGGGAGCAAACAGGAUUAGAUACCCCUGUAGUCCCUGUCUCUUAUAC
This 302-nucleotide ribosomal RNA is filed under the name uncultured bacterium. RNAcentral's name for it is "partial 16S ribosomal RNA". It matches the Rfam family "Bacterial small subunit ribosomal RNA", at positions 508 to 807 of the family's 1533-position model. The record is from RNAcentral.